This is a long non-coding RNA of Chenopodium quinoa (quinoa), 943 nucleotides long. RefSeq lists it as uncharacterized. The record is from RefSeq and is a predicted model, not a curated record. The transcript is spliced from 3 exons. NCBI's taxonomy places the organism in Eukaryota, Viridiplantae, Streptophyta, Magnoliopsida, Caryophyllales, Amaranthaceae.
GUGUCAAUUUUAUUCGUCCUGAUAAACCAGAAUCUAAAAGGUAUACAAAAGACAUGGAUUAUAAUGAAAUUACUCGUGAAAGGGCUCAAGUGGCGCUGGACUAUUAUAAUUCAAAUCACAAGAUGUAUUUAGGAUGAUGCUGAUUAUGAGUGUGUAAAGAUUGUUUCCCAAAGUCCAUAUAUGGCUAAGGCACAGCACUAUGCUUUGGGUUUUCAUAUGAACUUCUUUGCUCGUAAAAAAGACGGUCAUUCUUCUCCGGUGCUGUUUUAUGCCGAUCUUUUAUCUUCUCCUUCAUAUGAAGAAGAUGAGAUUGAGUGUUGUAUCCUGAAUCCUAGUCCGAUUACUUUUGGUAAGUUUCUAAGGGUAUAUAUCCUCGGAACUUAUUAAACCUUAUUAAAACUUAGUUCAGCUGUAAUCUAAACUUGGCUAACCCUUUCUCUUUGUUAUUAGAUUGUAACAUGUCUUAAGGACUAAAAUAGCUUUCUUGUGCAUCUUUCUUCUGAUGAAUUUCGCCCCAAUGGUGUUGGUAUUGGUUCAUCGGUUUACCAUCCUUCAUAUGUAAUAAGAUGUGGGUAUUGCGAGGAUAUGGAUAAGAUGAUGGCUAAGUAUGAAUUUGACAGCGAUGAUAGUGAUGAUGGUAUUGAUAUGUUCUGAUCUAGGAGUAUCAUUUACAUCUAAGUUUGCUGACCAUAUGUUAGUGUUGUGAGGAUGUAUUAAGUACUUGUUUAGCACUUGCUACUUGCUAGUACCUAGGAAAUCUAUCAUUCAUAUAUGUGAUGCCCAAAACUUUUCUAGCAUUUGUUUCUGAGUUUGCAAAGAGUGACUGACUGCUAUGUUAUAUAGCGUCUAAUGUUCAUCUGUCAUCCUCGAAAGAUAACAUCAUGGUCAUCAUCUACAUCUUCCCAAUGGAUUAGAUACUUUGUUAAGAACUGAACUUAAUACC